RNAcentral lists this ribosomal RNA (161 nucleotides) under Trichoderma virens. RNAcentral's name for it is "5.8S ribosomal RNA". It matches the Rfam family "5.8S ribosomal RNA". From Rfam's summary of the family: 5.8S ribosomal RNA (5.8S rRNA) is a component of the large subunit of the eukaryotic ribosome. It is transcribed by RNA polymerase I as part of the 45S precursor that also contains 18S and 28S rRNA. Functionally, it is thought that 5.8S rRNA may be involved in ribosome translocation. Lineage: Eukaryota; Fungi; Ascomycota; Sordariomycetes; Hypocreales; Hypocreaceae. The record is from RNAcentral.
GAAAAUGAAUCAAAACUUUCAACAACGGAUCUCUUGGUUCUGGCAUCGAUGAAGAACGCAGCGAAAUGCGAUAAGUAAUGUGAAUUGCAGAAUUCAGUGAAUCAUCGAAUCUUUGAACGCACAUUGCGCCCGCCAGUAUUCUGGCGGGCAUGCCUGUCCGA